Molecule: ribosomal RNA, 497 nt
Filed under: uncultured bacterium
Lineage: Bacteria
Description: partial 16S ribosomal RNA
Rfam family: Bacterial small subunit ribosomal RNA
Source: RNAcentral
GAUGAACGCUGGCGGCGUGCCUAAUACAUGCAAGUCGAGCGAACGGACGAGAAGCUUGCUUCUCUGAUGUUAGCGGCGGACGGGUGAGUAACACGUGGAUAACCUACCUAUAAGACUGGGAUAACUUCGGGAAACCGGAGCUAAUACCGGAUAAUAUUUUGAACCGCAUGGUUCAAAAGUGAAAGACGGUCUUGCUGUCACUUAUAGAUGGAUCCGCGCUGCAUUAGCUAGUUGGUAAGGUAACGGCUUACCAAGGCAACGAUGCAUAGCCGACCUGAGAGGGUGAUCGGCCACACUGGAACUGAGACACGGUCCAGACUCCUACGGGAGGCAGCAGUAGGGAAUCUUCCGCAAUGGGCGAAAGCCUGACGGAGCAACACCGCGUGAGUGAUGAAGGUCUUCGGAUCGUAAAACUCUGUUAUUAGGGAAGAACAAAUGUGUAAGUAACUGUGCACAUCUUGACGGUACCUAAUCAGAAAGCCACGGCUAACUACGUG